AUCAGCAGAUGACCCUUGGCAGGAAUUUUGUGCUAUGGUCCGUCAGAUUUUUAUAUACACAAAAGAGGAGGUCCAGAAGAUGGAUUCAAGUACCUUGAACCCAAAAAAUGAAGAUUGUCCUGAUAUGAAAGAGAAUGUCAAGGAAACAAAAGGUAGUCAAUCUGCAUCAUCAUCUAAUUCAAAAAACUCAUAGGCUUAUCCUGCAAUGAUCUUGAAGCACAAACAAAGUGAUUGUUUGUGCUUUAUCUAAGUGAUUGUUUGAACAUUUUUAUAGCAUGCAUCUUGACAAUUAAUAUAAUUUUGAAGAUCACUAUCAAGGAAGAAUGUUCAAAGGAAAGUAAAGGCUAAGGAGAAGAUCACGUAAUUAACUACACGGGUAGGUUUCCGUAAGAAUUCAACUUUUUCUUGAUCUAUUCUUAUGUAGUCCAUGGUACACAUUAAAGAUUUCACUGUAGCUUAUUUUCAGUAUUCUAACAUGUAAAUUAAUACACUUCUGUGGAUCCUCCAAACAAUCUAAGUUGUGAUGGAUUGAUAUCCCUUUAUGUUCCAAACCUUUGUUUUUUUUUUUGGAGCUUGUAAUUUUCAUUGCAAACAAUCCAUAUGGUGUAUGAAUUACAUUCAGUCCAGUAUAAACUUAGCACUUUCGCUUCAGAGGCAAUUUAUGGGUUUUAUUCUACAAUCAUGUUUACUAAUUGAUCAGAUUGAUUAAGAAGGGCAUUGGAGUAGCUUGGUAAAUUUGUUUUGCUAGGUUAUGAUAAAUUAGCAUUCAGCAGAAUAGAUGUUUGGAUUUCUUCUUCAAAUCACACAGUAAUAUUUCUCUUGUCAUUGGUGAAACAAUCAAUCCACUCUCAUUAUAACUUCCACAACAGAAAAUUUUAUGUUAUUUGCCUACUACCAAUGCAGUUUAACUGAUUUUACAUUGACUGAACAAGGUUGAUUUUAUUUAGGUAUCAAACUCUCCCAUUUGUUUUAGAUAUUACAUGUCUUGUUUGUUAAUUUCUCCAAACCAUUAUUUCUCAAUUUGUUAACAAGGAAACUCAUGUUAGCAUAGUCAUGAUCAGAGCCUAAUUAUAGUUUACAAUUAUCUGAGUGUUAUUGAUUAACUGUUCUGUCCUUUCUUCUGGUUCUUUUUUUUUUUAAAUUUGUGCACUCAUUUAGAUGGUUUAUUAUUCUUGUUGUGAUGA
Molecule: long non-coding RNA, 1184 nt
Organism: Zingiber officinale
Lineage: Eukaryota; Viridiplantae; Streptophyta; Magnoliopsida; Zingiberales; Zingiberaceae
Exons: 3
Source: RefSeq, a predicted model, not a curated record